Long non-coding RNA from Sander lucioperca (pikeperch), 106 nucleotides. RefSeq lists it as uncharacterized. The record is from RefSeq and is a predicted model, not a curated record. The transcript has 3 exons. Lineage: Eukaryota; Metazoa; Chordata; Actinopteri; Perciformes; Percidae.
AUUUUUGUCACCGCCCCCGGCUGCUGCUGCUGCUGCCUGCUCUCGUCCACUUUACAGGCGAGGAGCAGUUAAUCUCCAACGAGCCUAUCCUCAGCAAUAACUUUAC